UGAGCAAUCUGCCCUUCACAUCGGAAUAACCAUUGGAAACGAUGGCUAAUACCGAAUAUGACUUCGGAUCGCAUGAUCUGAAGUGGAAAGCUCCGGCGGUGAAGGAUGAGCUCGCGGCCUAUCAGCUUGUUGGUGAGGUAACGGCUCACCAAGGCUUCGACGGGUAGCCGGCCUGAGAGGGCGACCGGCCACACUGGGACUGAGAUACGGCCCAGACUCCUACGGG
RNAcentral lists this ribosomal RNA (226 nucleotides) under uncultured bacterium. RNAcentral describes it as "partial 16S ribosomal RNA". It matches the Rfam family "Bacterial small subunit ribosomal RNA", at positions 118 to 345 of the family's 1533-position model. The record is from RNAcentral.